GAUGAACGCUAGCGACAGGCUUAACACAUGCAAGUCGAGGGGCAACGGGACGUAGCAAUACGUUGCCGGCGACCGGCGGAUGGGUGAGUAACGCGUAUGCAACCUACCCACGACAGGGGGAUAGCCCGUUGAAAGACGGAUUAAUACCCCAUAAACAGGGGUUCCGCAUGGGACUAUUUGUUAAAGGGUUCUCCGCGAGGGGGACCUCGGUUGUGGAUGGGCAUGCGUUCCAUUAGGCAGUUGGUGAGGUAACGGCUCACCAAACCGACGAUGGAUAGGGGAACCGGGAGGUUGGUCCCCCACACUGGUACUGAGAUACGGACCAGACUCCUACGGGAGGCAGCAGUGAGGAAUUUUGGUCAAUGGACGGAAGUCUGAACCAGCCAAGUCGCGUGAAGGAAGGCGGCCCUAAGGGUUGUAAACUUCUUUUGUAAGGGAAUAAAGUGCGUUACGUGUAGUGCAUUGCAAGUACCUUACGAAUAAGGAUCGGCUAACUCCGUG
This 501-nucleotide ribosomal RNA is filed under the name uncultured bacterium. RNAcentral's name for it is "bacterial SSU rRNA". It matches the Rfam family "Bacterial small subunit ribosomal RNA", at positions 28 to 507 of the family's 1533-position model. The record is from RNAcentral.